ACCAGACUCCUACGGGAGGCAGCAGUGAGGAAUAUUGGUCAAUGGGCGGAAGGCUGAACCAGCCAAGCCGCGUGAAGGACGAAGGUGCCAAGCAUUGUAAACUUCUUUUGUCAAGGGACAAAAUCAGGCUCGAGAGCCUGACCGAGGGUACUUGAAGAAAAAGCAUCGGCUAACUCCGUGCCAGCAGCCGCGGUAAUACGGAGGAUGCGAGCGUUAUCCGGAUUUAUUGGGUUUAAAGGGUGCGUAGGCGGAAUAUCAAGUCAGCGGUAAAAAUUCGGGGCUCAACCCCGUCGUGCCGUUGAAACUGAUGUUCUUGAGUGGGCGAGAAGUAUGCGGAAUGCGUGGUGUAGCGGUGAAAUGCAUAGAUAUCGCGCAGAACUCCGAUUGCGAAGGCAGCAUGCCGGCUCCACACUGACGCUGAGGCACGAAAGCGUGGGUAUCGAACAGGAUUAGAUACCCCGGUA
This 464-nucleotide ribosomal RNA is filed under the name uncultured bacterium. RNAcentral's name for it is "bacterial SSU rRNA". It matches the Rfam family "Bacterial small subunit ribosomal RNA", at positions 330 to 792 of the family's 1533-position model. The record is from RNAcentral.